This 71-nucleotide transfer RNA is filed under the name Loxodonta africana (African savanna elephant). It matches the Rfam family "tRNA". Rfam says of the family: Transfer RNA (tRNA) molecules are approximately 80 nucleotides in length. Their secondary structure includes four short double-helical elements and three loops (D, anti-codon, and T loops). Lineage: Eukaryota; Metazoa; Chordata; Mammalia; Proboscidea; Elephantidae. The record is from Rfam by way of RNAcentral.
GCAGUGGUGCUUUAGUGGUAGAAUUCUCACCUUCCGAGUAGGAGACCUGGGUUCGAUUCCCAGCCAAAGCA